Long non-coding RNA from Cyprinodon tularosa, 391 nucleotides. RefSeq lists it as uncharacterized. NCBI's taxonomy places the organism in Eukaryota, Metazoa, Chordata, Actinopteri, Cyprinodontiformes, Cyprinodontidae. The record is from RefSeq and is a predicted model, not a curated record. The transcript has 4 exons.
AUAAAUUUCAAGUGUGGAAGAAGCUAACUGCUGAAUUUAAGAGGAUUACAACCAUCAGUUUGCUGUCAAAGUUCUUCUCCCAGCUGGAUGCUCAUUCUUCAAACUUGAUGAGGGUGUUUGGCAAGAAAGGCGGCGUUCAAGGAAGAAAGAUAAGGAGCAUCAUGAUACCCAUCACCAAGACUGACGCCAUUGAUGUCAAAAGAGAGUGAAUCAUCAAAGCCCUGUGUGUGUACCUGAAUGAAGAGCCCGAGAACCUUGUGAAAGAAUACAUGAACACAGAUUGUGGGAGCAGUGAAGCUGCAGUGAUGGAGACGACAUUUGGAAUAUUUGUCAUUCGCAAGGAAGGUGCAGAGCCAGGUGAUGGACCGGAAGAUGUAGGUAUAGUUCUGGG